Molecule: long non-coding RNA, 1338 nt
Filed under: Prunus dulcis (almond)
Lineage: Eukaryota; Viridiplantae; Streptophyta; Magnoliopsida; Rosales; Rosaceae
Description: sRNA ncRNA
Source: RNAcentral
CUGCUUUACUUUAUAGUUAAUUAUUUUUAAAGCACAAUAGAAAUAAUUUUUUUUAAAAGUGACAGCAAUCUCAAAUUGGGCUUAAGAGAGCUAUAAUAUUUGCUAAUCUCAUAUAUCUCUCGUGUGUGCACAUCGAGCAUGCCUGUCAGGUGUUGUGCCAUUACUUGUGGAGAAAAGCUUCGUCUGUGAGACUAUCCUUAACCAUAGUUACGUGUCUGUCUUUUUUAUUACGUGACGUGAAUGAGAGAAAGGCUUUUACAGACCGCCAAUGAGAUGAAAGGUUUUCUAUGAGAGAGCUAUUUGCAAUUGCACGAAAUCUUUGACUUUGUUAAAAAAAGCAGCACGAUCUUCUAACUCCGGAUGACAAUAGAAAGUAUGAAUGGCGUUCGGAUAAUACACCAGCUCAGCUUCUUUCCCGCUUUUCUUCAACCCCUCGUAGUAUCUCUUCUGCCACUCUUGCAGCGGAUCAAAUCCUCCCACGAACACAAUCGUCGCCGGAUAAUCCGACCCCGAUAUAUCCUCCGAUUUGGGUCCGAACACGUUCGCCGCCGGGUGAUCCCGAUCCGACGCGUCCGGCAAAAACGCCCUCCACAUCCAGUCCGUCCGCUCCAAAUUCACUAUCGGCACUCCCACCAGCCUCCUUUCGGGUUCCGUCCGUUCCUCUCCUCCGAAAAACGGCUGGAUCGACAAGAUCCCAACAACCUUCAGAUUCUGGAACACGUGUCCGCUAUAUCUGAGCGCCACGUGGUGCGCUAUGUUUCCACCCGCGCUGUCUCCCGCGAGAAAGCAUUGUUUGAGAUUCGCGCCCUCGAAGUAGUGGCCGUCGUUCUCCAUGAAUUUCAAGACGUCGUGUGCGUCGUCGUAUUGGCACGGAUACCGAUGCUCAGGAGUGAGGCGGUAGUUGACGGAGACCACGACGGCUGGGAGUUCGCGAGCGAGUUUCUGGCAGAAGUCGUCGUAAGGUUUUGAGUUGGCGGCCAUGAACGCAAACCCUCCGCCGUGGAAGAAGACGAUGACGGGAAGGGUGGUGGCGGAUGCGGAGGCGGUGGGAGUGUAGAGGCGGAACCAGAGGUUGCGGGACGAGUCGACGAUGACGUCAGAGCUUUUGAGGUUUUUGUGAGGUUUGGUUAGAGGAGGGGAUUUGAAGUCCAGGAGGUUGAUGAAACAACGGUUGAGAGUGCCGUUUGAGCGGCGAGAGACGUCUACGGCGAAGGAAAAGGAGGACAGGAAGAGGCGGAGGCUCCAUGAAAGAUGUGGGGAGGCUAGCUGCUUUUGGUUUUGGUCCAUUUCUUCUGUAUGCGUCUGUCUCCAGCUCUGACUGAAGCAAAGCAAUGAAUG